Molecule: transfer RNA, 73 nt
Filed under: Cotesia glomerata
Lineage: Eukaryota; Metazoa; Arthropoda; Insecta; Hymenoptera; Braconidae
Description: tRNA-Thr
Source: RNAcentral
GUCUCGGAUAACUUAACUGGUAGAGCCUUUGGCACGUAACCGAACAAUCCGGGUUCGAGUCCCGGUCCAGGCU